UACGGAGGGAGCUAGCGUUGUUCGGAAAUACUGGGCGUAAGCGCACGUAGGCGGCGCAGCAAGUCAGGGGUGAAAUCCCGGGGCUCAACCCCGGAACUGCCUCUGAAACUGCAGUGCUAGAAUCUUGGAGAGGCGAGUGGAAUUCCGAGUGUAGAGGUGAAAUUCGUAGAUAUUCGGAAGAACACCAGUGGCGAAGGCGACUCGCUGGACAAGUAUUGACGCUGAGGUGCGAAAGCGUGGGGAGCAAACAGG
Molecule: ribosomal RNA, 252 nt
Filed under: uncultured bacterium
Lineage: Bacteria
Description: partial 16S ribosomal RNA
Rfam family: Bacterial small subunit ribosomal RNA
Source: RNAcentral